Molecule: ribosomal RNA, 253 nt
Filed under: uncultured bacterium
Lineage: Bacteria
Description: partial 16S ribosomal RNA
Rfam family: Bacterial small subunit ribosomal RNA
Source: RNAcentral
UACGUAGGGGGCUAGCGUUGUCCGGAUUUAUUGGGCGUAAAGAGCGUGUAGGCGGCCAGGUAGGUCUGGUGUGAAGACUCGAGGCUUAACCUCGAGAUGUCAUCGGAAACCAUCUGGCUAGAGUCCGGAAGAGGAGAGUGGAGUUCCUGGUGUAGCGGUGAAAUGCGCAGAUAUCAGGAGGAACACCGGUGGCGAAGGCGGGUCUCUGGGCCGAUACUGACGCUGAGGAGCGAAAGCGUGGGGAGCAAACAGG